CAGUCGCCACGGGAAUACGUAGGUGGCAAGCGUUGUCCGGAAUUAUUGGGCGUAAAGCGCGCGCAGGCGGAUCAGUCAGUCUGUCUUAAAAGUUCGGGGCUUAACCCCGUGAUGGGAUGGAAACUGCUGAUCUAGAGUAUCGGAGAGGGAAGUGGAAUUCCUAGUGUAGCGGUGAAAUGCGUAGAUAUUAGGAAGAACACCAGUGGCGAAGGCGACUUUCUGGACGAAAACUGACGCUGAGGCGCGAAAGCCAAGGGAGCGAACGGGAUUAGAUACCCCAGUAGUCCCUGUCUCUUAUACC
Molecule: ribosomal RNA, 301 nt
Filed under: uncultured bacterium
Lineage: Bacteria
Description: partial 16S ribosomal RNA
Rfam family: Bacterial small subunit ribosomal RNA
Source: RNAcentral